Xenopus laevis (African clawed frog) is the source of this 759-nucleotide long non-coding RNA. RefSeq lists it as uncharacterized. NCBI's taxonomy places the organism in Eukaryota, Metazoa, Chordata, Amphibia, Anura, Pipidae. The transcript is spliced from 3 exons. The record is from RefSeq and is a predicted model, not a curated record.
CUUCAAGCUCAUUUGGGACCUGCCUCCGAGAGUGAAGGAGUGGACAAAGAAGUGGAGGAUGAAGAUUACCAACCAGUGGUGCAAAAUGGCACAGAGGAAGUGGUGAUAACAUCCGGCGUCAGCACCCUUAGCUCAGUAGUUUCCCAUGAAAUCCAGAGCCAACAAAACAACCUGCAGCUGGGCAAACUGCGGCAAGAAACUAACAGAUUGCUGGAAGAGCUGGUGCAAAAGGAAAGGGAAUACCAGCUGGUUUUAAAACAGUGUUUGGAACAGAGGAAUCAUGACUUACAUCUUCUACACAGCAAAUCAAGUCCAAUUGAUAUUCCACAGACAACUGUACCUUAUGCGUCACAUGACCAAGCCACAGACCAAGAGCUUGUUAAUUGGCUGAGGGAACUUGGAGCUGCUGACGAUGUAGUAAACCAGGUAAUAAAUUCUGGAUUUAUUGCCAGUCAACUCUCAUAUUCCUGGUUACCGUGCAUAAUAAAUGUAGUCAACUGGUUAAGGCUAGUCACAUAGAAACAUUACAAUUUUCUUUUUUCUUUCAUUGUACAAGACGGUUGUUGAUUACUGUUUCUAACACAAACCAAAAGAAAUAAGAUGUGUGUUAAAUGAUAUACUGUACAUGCAAAAUCUUCUCAAUUGUAUUAUAAUUGUUAAUUGACAUUUGCAUUGAUGUUUGUACGACACGUAAAUAAAAAUGUAUUGAAAUAGAAACAUUACAAACGUGGUUUUUAUAUGGCUUUAAAGGGCAUGUAA